GUUUUUUUGUAUUGGCUAUGUUGAGUUUACACAUAAAACACAUGGCUUUGUUCCAGCUGCCAGGUGCUCAGCUGCAGCCCCAGAUUGGAGCCCAGUCGGACUCUUGCUCUUCAGCAGGAGCGGCUGUGGGCAGAUGCUUUGCCCUCCCAGCCGUGUUAUAGCCCUAAGUCAGUUGUGCCGUGUUUGGAGAGAAGAAGCUUGGUGCCAAUAAACCCUCUGAGGAAUCACAGGAUGGGACUCUCUGCUUUCAAGUAGUGUUGUAGGCCCAGAGGAAUAGAAACGCUACUAGGAUGCAAGGGACGUACUUUCAUUGCAUCCAGGGAAGCUGGUGAAGACAGCUGCUGGCAGUUUAACAUAGUUGUUCUUCUGAGUCAAACUGCUGGGCAGUAGAUGCUGCUGGUAGUACUCUGCAGUUCUGCAAGGGCUGUGUGUGUCAUGGGAACACUGUUCCCCGUGCUACUGCUGGAUUCUUGUGAGAUCUUAAGGGUCUUAUACAACAUUCAUUUUAUUUAGGAGCUAGAGAUCACAUACCUGUUUCCUUUUUGUAACCCAUUGGUGAAGAUGUCAACAGUUAACUUUAUGGAGUCACAAUAAUUAUAUAUAUAUAUAUAUAUAUAUACAUAUAUAUAUAUAUAUUUUUUUUUUCUGAUGCAAUUCCAGGUCAUUGUUAUUUUUAUCACCUUAGACACCCCUUUUUGUACAGGAGGGAUAUGCUGCUACCAGGCUGUUGGGCCACAAAAAACAAAGAGGCAACUGGAGAGCCAGCACAACUCUAACAUAGCUGCUAUAAAAUUGUCAAGCUAGUUUUGGAUGUGAUGGAGGCUGCCCGCAAGUUCUCUUACUUGUACUAAUGCUCUUCCAAAGUGCUUGUUUGGGUUUUGCUUCAAGAAAUCAGGAGCAUUCGUCUUAUUAAAUUGUCAUCUUCUGAAACAGGGCUAUCUCAUGGCACAGAAGUUGCUUAAUCUUGACAGGGAAGGGCAGCCAAAAAAAGAAAUAGAUAAACUCUGAGAGGUGUCCCUUUGUUAGGUGGUGCACUGUACUCCACCUUAUCUUCCUUUUAAUGUUCUGUAAAUAAGGCUGCCUCCUACUGUGGUUAUCUCUCCAGGUAAAACUUCUAAGAUCAGUGAUGGUGAGAAGGGUCAGGCACUGGGCUCGUCUUCACGUUCACAUACAAACCACUGACUUUCCUGCUUCUCGUUAGUUUCUCACUUGUGUUUCCUUUAAGUGGUAGGAAGGGUUUUGCUUGUUUUUGUCUUGUGCUGUGUAUUUUCUUGCACAAUGAAAUGUAAACAUCACCUUUCCUCUGAGUGUUUGGAUAUUCAGUGACUGCACAAAACCCUACAACACCAUAUUUUUUGCAUUGUGAUCCAUUAAUAUGGUCAUGGUGUGAAUUUAUCCCACUUGUAAGUUAAUACAUUUAGAAAUAAAUAAUUGUGGGUUGUUUUGUUUUGCUGUAUUUUGUUUUUCAAAGUAAGCUGCCAUUCAGUCUUGGCUUGUUGUCUAUACUUGUGAAUGCUAAUGGAACAUUUGAGUUAAAUCCAGUAAAAACUUUCUCGGUUGACUACCACCAUUCAGAUUACAUGGAAUAGAUUAGUGUUACCUUGGGCUAGAGGGAAAGAUGCUGUUGAUUGUUGCAAAUGAAUUUCUUUUUUGCUAGUGGCAAUAUAGGAAUGAGUUGUGGUUUAAUUUUUUUUUUAGAUCAGGUCUGCUCCUACUCUCAACAAAGAACAUUCCCAAGCUCUACUUGAUUUCAGAGAGAGCAGAAUUUGUCCCUUGGUACUCUAACAUACAGAGCUGUCAUUUGUUUGGAUAUUUUUUCCAGUCAUAAUAGCUUUGUUAAGAACUGUAACAUAUCACAAAGCAUAAUAAAUGGAACAGAACUGGCUGUUCUCAGAAAGACUGUCAAUGGAGACUCAUCAGUGAAUGGAAAUGCUUCCAGUGAAGUUCUGCAGGGACCAGUACUGUAAAAAUGCUAUUAAGAAUUUUCAUUACUCUUUUGAAAAUACUUAUAAAAUCUCUGCUCUUAAAAUGCCUAUAUGCCACAGUUUGGAAGAACAUAAAACAAGGACAAUAAAGUGCUGAUCGUGAACAACCUAUGUUGCUCAAUAAACAGUACAUAUAUGUUGUAUUUGACCUUACUGAAACAUAUUCAAAGUCACUCACUUAGGAAUAAGAAAUAUAGGUCCUCCAUCCAUGCAAUGGGAGACUAUGUCCUGGAAGUCAGUGGCUGGAAUAAAUUUGCAGCUCAUCAGAAGAGCAGCUGACAGCACAAUGUUAUAGCAGAAAGGGCCAGUGAGACUCCUGGGUGUAUAAAAAUCAGAGGGAGGAAAGGUGUGAUUUUACUUUGAAACGUAGCAUCACUGAUGCCAGGAACAUUCUUAAGAAUCAUAGAAUGGUUUGGGUUGGAAGGGACCUUAAAGACCAUCCAGUUCCAACCCCCCCUGCCAUGGUCAGGGAUGCCACCCACUAGACCAGAUUGCCCAGGGCCUCGUCCAACCUGCCCUUGACCACCUCCAGGGAUGGGGCAGCCACAACUUCUCUGGGCAACACGUUCCAGUGCCUCACCACCCUCUGAGAGAAGAAUUUCCUCCUAACAUCUAAUCUAAAUCUGCCCUCUUUUAUCUUAAAACCCUUCCCCCUUGUCCUAUCACUGUCUGCCCAUAUAAAAAGUCACUCUCCAUCUUUUUUUAUAAGCCCCCUUUAAGUAUUGAAAGGCUGCAAUGAGAUCACCCUGGAGCCUUCUAUUUAGGCUGAACAGCACCACCUCUCUCAGCCUUUCUUCAUAGGAGAAAUGCUCCAGUCCUCCAAUCAUCUUUGUGGACCUUCUCUUGACCGACUCUAACAGAACCACAUCCUUCUUGUGCUGGGGGCCCCAGACCUGGACACGGUACUCCAGAUGGCACCUAACAAGGGCAGAGCAGAGGGGGACAAUCACCUCUCUCAGCCUGCUGGCCGCUCCUCUGUUGAUGCAGUUGGCCUUCUGGGCUGCAAGCACGCACUGUUGGUUCAUGUUGAGCUUUUUGUUCACUAGAUCCCCCAGGUCCUUUUCUGUAGGGCUGCUCUCCUCUCCCAGUCUGUGUUCAUGCCUGGGAUUGCCCUCACCCACAUGCAGCACCUUGCACUUAGAAUCAUUGAAUCAUUCAGGUUGGAAAAGACCUCUAAGAACAUGUAGUCCAACCUUCAACCUAGUACUAAAGUCCACCAAUAAACCAUGCUACUAAGUUCUAAAUCUACACGUUUCUUGAAGACCUCUGGGGAAGGUGACUCAACCACUUCCCUGAGCAGCCUAUUCCAAUGCUGCACAACCCUUUCAGUAAAGAAAUUUCUAAUAUCCAACCUAAACCUCUGCUGGCACAUCUUGGGUUCAUUUCCCCUCGUCUUACCACUUGGUGCUUGGGAGAAGAGACCUUGCUAUAGCCUCCUUUAAGGUAAUUCUAGAGUGGUCUUGUUGAACGUCAUUAGGUUCACAUGGGUCCACUUAUCUAGCUUGUCUAAAUCCCUUUGUAUGGCAUCCCUUCCUUCUGUUGUAUCGACUGUACCACUCAGCUUGGUGUCAUUUGCAAAAUUGCUGAGGGUGUACUGGAUCCCACUGUCUAUGUCACUGAUAAAGAUAUUAAACAGUACCAGUCUUAAGAUGGACUCCUGAGGGACACCACUUGUCAUCAGCCUCCACCAGGACAUAGAGCACUUAACUACGACUCUCUGAAUGUUGCCAUCCAGACAAUACCUUAUCUACUGAAUUCCACCCUUCAAAUCCAUAUCUCUCCAGUCUGGAGAUCAGGAUGUCAUGUGGAACCAUGUCAAAAGCCUCACAUAAGUCCAGGUAGAUGACAUCGGUCGGUCUUCCCUUGUCAACAGAUGCAGUCACUCCAUCAUAGAAGGCCACCAGAUUGGUCAGGCAUAAUUUGCCCUUGGUGAAGCCAUGCUGGCUGUCUUGGAUCACCUCCUUGUUUUGCGUGUGCCUUGACAACUACAUCAGCCAGUUCUCUCAGGACCCUGGAAUGCAUGUCAUCAGGCCCCAUAGAGUUGUUCCUGUUCAGUUUCAUCAGGUGGUCUCAAACCUGCUCUUUGCUUACAGUGGGAAGGACUUUGCUCCCCCAGCCCUCACCUAGAGGUUCAGGGAAAUGAGAAACCUGGGAAGCCUGACUGCCAGUAAAGACUGAGGCAAAGAAGUUGUUGAGUACCUCAGCCUUCUCUGUCUGUUACCAGUUCUCCCUUCUUGUUUUUCAGAGGGGGAACACUCUCCUUGGCCUUUCUUUUCUGGCCAAUGUACCUCUAGAAUCCUUUCUUUUUAUUUUUUUGCAUCUCUUGCCAAGCUCAGUUCCAUCCAUACCUUGGCUUUCCUGAUCCCACCCUUGCACAUCCAGACUGCAUCCCUGUACUCUUCCCAGGCCACGUGUCCCUGCUUCCACUGCCUGUGCAUUUACUUCUUGUGCCUCAGUUUGACCAGCAGGUCCUUGCUUAGCAAUGAUGGUUUUCUGCCUUCCCUGCUUGAUUUCCUCCACAUGGGGUUGGAGUGCUCUUACUAAAGAGAAGUGCUAAACUUCUCUUAAAGGUUAAAGAGUUAAGAGUUCUCUUAAACUUAAAGAGUUGCCAGCUCUGAUCAGUUCCUUUGUCCCUAAAGACAGUGUCCCAUGUUGGUGCUAACGUCAGAGUAAGGAUUUCAGAAACUGGGGAGAGGGCAGAGCAGUGACACCAGAACAGCUUCAGGCUUGAAAGUGUUCCUGGGUUUUAGACCUUAGCUCUCUAUCUUGGUUAGCUUAUCAAAAAGACAGGACUGAGGAUCCGUCUUACAGCCUGCAAGAGGUUAUUCAACAUGUAAUACUGAGUGACCAAGAAUGCUAGAGCCCUAUGGAGAGGCAGAUAAUGAAAAGCAAAGUCUUAGAAAUGCCUGGAUCCUGGCAUUUUUUGGGAUUGGAAAUAGAUCAUAUGUUUUUCACAAAGAAGUUUUCAUCCUUCUAGCAGCCCACCAACAGAACCAAGGGCCCCAUUUCCUGAUGUUUGCAAAUCAAGACCAUGUGCCUUUCUGGAAGAUAUAUUAAAGUUAAAUAUACGUUAGUAGGUUCAAUAUUAGAAAAACUGGAUGAAAUGUGGAGGCUUGUGAUAUGUGAAAGGUUGAAAAAAUAGAACAGUUAAUAAAAUAUUAGAUUAUUAGACUUUUUAUUUGUCUUUAAAUUCUGAGUUUGCAAAUAUGUAAACUUCCACAUUUUGAGAAUUUUCUCAGUUUUGCUUGCAUUCCCUGAGCUGUACCAUGCUGUCUUGGCAGUCAUUCUUUAUAUAUGAGCCUAUGGUCCACUAAAGAUGUGCAGAUAUUUUUGCACCUACUUCCUAAGCUGUGCCUGUUGCAGCUGUUCUGAUAAACAAGAUCUUAAAUAGGGUAUAAGAGUAUUUAGGGAUCAUCCUUUUCUUAGAGUAGAAGAACUCUCCUUCCAUUAACAUCAGUGAUGCAUACACUCUUAGAGAGACACUUCCUAUCUUUUCAAGAACCACUGAGUUGUUUUUAACUCUUAUUCUCUAACAAAUUACAGGGUUGUUUUCUACCUGUAAACUGUACCUUUUAAAAUACUUCAUGUUACUCCACUUUUAUGAGUGGAGUCAACCUUCUAUUACUAUGGAAGUGUCUGGGCAGACAUAAAGUAACAUACAGGUGGCAAGAAGUACUGUGAAAAUUAAGUCUUUUAUAUGUUCACCUGAGCUGGUAUAGGAAGCCUGGAGGAGAAGGAGAGGCACCCAAGAAAUCUGAAAGGUAAUGGUGUUUUUCUGCUUAUUCGAUGCUUUCAAAAUUUUUACCAUUCACACAGAACACUUUCACUGCUUUGAUGCCUAUAUUUUGAUUGUGUUAUGAUUUUGAGCUCAUAGUUUAGUGAACAGAAAAUAAGGUAAAUACAAAUAGGAAACAAAAACAUGCCCAGAGUUUAUAUAGGAAACAUGACUGAAUGUCUGCAAGUGACGGUUGUUUCAGUGCAUGUUUCAAUAUUUAUUAGACUCCCAAAUCCAUCUCACAAGUGCAAAGCAUCAGUUGCCACUUCACAGUAGCAAAUUAGUUACCUGCAUGAAAUUCCUUGUUGAUUUGGCCCUCUCUGUGCUUAGUAUAAUAUUUCAGCAUGGACUAUAGUAUUGAAAAACAGAUUCCUGAUUGGUCUUGCCUUUUAUUUUCAUAAAUGUAUUAGUGACUAGAAAUGACAACUGAGAUUGGGUUCUAGAUUCUAGGAAGAAAGGGUCUCCCAGGUAAGGGCUGUACAAGCUCAAUAGGCAUGGUUGCAAAGAUACAGCAUUUUGUAUAUGUUUUCCAAAAUACGUGUGAUGUACCAUAGGGCAUGGGAGAGGAACACAGGUAAUCCAGCUGUCUUAACCGUGAUGAGUACUUCUAAUUGCAGCAGUUACAAAACUCAUAGCUGGUGGAUUUACCUUGAUUUCUUUUUCCGUAAAUGCAAAUUUAAACAAGGAACACUAAAUGAAAGAGGAGCUUUUGUCUUCUGCCUGUACUGGCCAUAUUUUCAUGCUUUGUCAGUCUCUACUGAGCAAAUUCAAGCUCCUGUAACCUGGUCAGUUUUGUGAACGAGUCAUACCUGUGAAAGUGAUCCCAGGGUUCAGCCCAGCAGUUGUUGCAUUAACAAGCAUAUGAGGGUUCUCUCAGCAUUUUAUUGUUGUUAUGGGGAAGCAGAUGAUUUUGGAAGCUUACAGAUGCUGGUGGGUUUAAUGCCAACAUUUUCUUUAGGCCUUUUAGUGGCCCAGAAAUCACCUUUUUUCUUUGCCAGAAAUAUAAUGUUCUAUAUAUUUUUUCUUAAUUAAAAGAUCCAUAGAAAUCUGAAUAUGUUUUUGUGAAAGAGGCUAUCUCAUGUAAUUCCUACACUGAACAGAUUUGAAGUAAAUGCACUGGACAUCCUUUCCUGUGUAUACCUUUGAUAUAACUUGUUCUUCUUUAUCCAUGUUGGGGCAUGUUGGUGGUGUCCUGCAGCUGCAAUAGUGGAAGAUAACUAAUGUAGCCGUUUAAAAUGGGCUUAAAUUGCAAUAGUGAAAGAUUUUAGCAUUGUUGAUUACAGGCACUUUAGUGACCUGAAAGCUUGUGCACUGCCACCUCUGUGGUGGCUUUGUACUCUUAGUAGACAAGAUACCAUGCCUUUUUGUGGCUCUUCCCACAGAAAUGUGCCUUGGGAGCAGCCCUAGUGAGCAGUGCCACAAAUGUUACAUCAGAUUUGCAUAAUCAGACAGCCCAGGUUUAUUAGAAAGAUCUUUCUAAUGGCUUUAAACUAAGAAAGGGUAGAUUUUGACUAGAGAUAGGAAGAAAUUCUUCACCACAGAGGUGGUGGGACACUAGAACAGGUUGCCCAGAGAAUUGUGGAUGCCCCAGCCCUGGAGGUGUUCAAGACCAGGCUGGAUGGGGCUUUGAGCAACCUGGUCUGGUGAGAGGUGUCCCUGCUCAUGGAAGGGGGGUUUGAAUUAGAUGAUCUUUAAGGUCCCUUCCAACCCAAAGCAUUCCAUGAUUCUGAUUCCAUGGGCAGUUUCAUAGUUUAGUACUCCUUUUUAGUAGCAAUAAGGAAUCACUGAGAGAAGCGUGAAUGCCAGAGAGAGCAACCUGCAUUGUAUGUCCUUCUCCUGAAUUAGAUAUACUUUAGAUGUGAAUUUGCUGGUUUAUCAUUGUUACAUAGGUGUUAUAUCAUCACAAAUCAUCUAAAGAAUUAUUUUUACAGAACUGUUACUUUUAGAGGUCAAACCACACAACUGAUAAGUGUUCAAAUUGCCCCAAAAUGAAAUCUACUAAAAUAUCUGCUGCUUCUCAAAAUCUUCAACAGUUUCCAAAUGAAAAUAUUAUAAAAUCUGAAACCUACAUGGAUUGCUUAGCAAAUGUUAAAAGCAAAGUUUUAUAUGUCUUAUAAAACUCUGAUUUUUUUAAACUUUUAUUAAAAAAAAAAAAACUUAUAAAACUGCCAUAUUUGUUCAUUCAAUUUAAUCUAACUCUGCAGAGGAUUUGGUAUUUCUAAAAGAGAUACUUUUUUUUUUUUUUUUUUUUCUGCAAACAAAGAAAAUAAACUCUACAACAAACAAAAACUCAGUUGUAAUUUCACCCUUGUUCUCAUGAUUUUCCAUAACUCCAUAAAGAAAAUGAAAAACUACUUCUUCAUGUACUUUGUAGUUCUUAUGACCUGAGGAUCAAUUCAAUAAAGCUUAUGAUAGUAUCAUUGCUGACUUUCAGAGAGACUUUAUUUUCAUUCCACAAAGUGUAGCCUUAAGAGCUAAUGGGAAAUUUCACUCGUUAGUAUGUGAUUUGUUUCUAUCUGUAGUAAAAGAGCAAUCUUAAGGUUAAUACACCAGCAUGCCCUGUACAAUGGUAGAUAAAGACACUGCCUGUUAUCUUGUAUCUGGACAUGUUGUCAUGAACUUCAAAGCAAGGUCGAAACCUUAGCUUCAAGCUUUCAUGCCCUUCCAUUUGCCUUGUUCAAAUCCUAAAUAUAAGCUUUGGUAUCCUUCAAAUGGUGUCAUGACACUCAUUAUAUACCAUCAAGGGCCAGAUUUAAGAAGCAAACUAGGACUCAGGUCCACAUGCAGUAUAACCAUUGCUUAAACUGGCACGGGAGGAAAUAACAGAAACCCAGAGUGAUGGCAAACUUUUCCUGCUUUGCUUCAUGUCUGUUCCUGGUACCAGGUGGCCAGAGCACCACUGAUCAACUGUUCCCAAUUGGAAAUAGGACAAAGGAAAAUAACAUGAUGGUUAGGGAAGGCUCUGAUGAGUGCCAGGCUCUCUGGGCCACAACUCAGGCUCUGCUCUCAGCUGAAACCCAAUGCAAAUACAACCUCCCCAAGCAAGCUCUGACACAGCACAGGCUGCCAGGGGUAUCUUGCAGGUAACAUUGCUGAUUCCUUCUACUGUUUUAAAUUCAUGAGGUUAUAGUUAAUCUAUAGGUACUGCUGCUCCACAUAUAUUAUUCAGUUUUCUGUUGAAUUCUAGAAACGCUAGUGCACGCAGUUGGAUGUUCUGAAAAAUAUGUUGACAAUAAGGCAUACUACGCGCAGUGGUAAAUAGAGAUAAUCUCUUAACAAGGCUCUGGUUUUGUAGCAGUAUGUAAAAGAUAUGAGGAGUAAAAAUGCACCAUGUUGGGAUAGUUAGGUUCCCUUAGAAGAGGGUGUAUAUGUGUGUGCAGUGGUCAGAUAGCUAUCCUGCAAAACACACUGCAGAAGGCGGUGCUGGUAUCUAACUGACAGAUCAGCAGCAAUGCUUCCUGCUAAGGGUGCAUCAUCCUGUAUUCUAGUACCAGAUGAGGGUUUAUGGCUUUUUUGUUUGCUUUGUUCAUUAUCUGGGGUUUUCUUUUGGGGGGAAAUUGACCUCUCAUUCUGAUGCGUUGAAUAAAUCAAGAUCACCUGGCAUUAACACUUGGAAGAAUAUUUGAAAAACACCAUUUCAGAAAUUCAGUCCUCCCGACUCUGAAGCAGUGGGCCACAAACACCAGAUACACAUACACCAGAGCAGUUAUCGCCUUGUGAUCAGGCACUCAAUGGGCAGCAGAAGGCUCAACCUCAAGCCCUUCUUCCAUUAACCUGAUGCCAUAUGUCUGCCUUCUAAGUCUGCAUGAAGACUGUUGGAGUAUGAAAUAUUCAUUGGGAAAUGUACUGUACAUGAGGAUUCAACUAUGAAGCUGCUUUUCAGAUCUCUUUUAUGUAGUUUGAUUCAAAAUUUUAUUCUGAACCUGAGAAACCAUUUCAUUCUCAAUGUUUUAUCAAAAAUAAGCCAUUCCCAUGAAAGUUUCCACUUCUGUUAAUCACCAUUUUUUUUUUUUUCCAGGGUUGAAUGAAUUUUCAGUUAGCACUUCUUCAUAGAAUUAUUAUGCCCUUUGCCAUAGAGAGGUCUUUUCUGGCUAUGGUCUCAGUCUGGUGUUAAGGGAGUUGAUACAUUCUUGCAUAUAUUAUACCUGGACUCAGAAGGUUUGGGUCUAACUUCUGGGUUCAUUUUCAAAUUGCUGAGGGACUGAGGUUAGUUUACCUCCCUUGUCCUCUUUGAAAAUGAGAAUACCGGUACUGAUCUCAUUCAUUGUGUGCUUCAGGGUCCACAGAUGGUGUAUUUUAUGUGUACAUUUUAUGUGUACAUUUUAUACAUGUUCCAAGGCAACAUUUUGUUUCAACAAGAUCCAAAGAAUGGGCUUUUCUAAACAUUUAAUUUUAUUGUUACUCUUGAAUAAUUGAACCAUGUGGAAGAGGCACAUUAUAUUUUCUUCUUGCUGGGAAUGAGAACUCAAUCCAUAGUACUACAUCCUCUAUGGGUCAUUUACUUUUUGCUUGGAAAAUGGCAUAGCUUAUCCCCAAACCAACCCUUUGUUACAGAGCAGGCAUCUGGUUUGUGACAAGCCUGUUGACUGGGAUCUAUCAUCUAGAUUUAUAAAAGACUUGCAUGUCCAUUCCGUGAAUAUGAUUGGAUUACUUUGGCUUCACUCACAGUUUUGUUGUCGUUUUUGUUCGCCACUGUGAAGUGCAGCUUCAGCCGUUGCGAACGAGGGGGGUCUGUCAGUUUGCAUCAACUGAUGAAUUUGCCUAAUGAUUUCCCUCUCUGUACUCUUGCCUCUUGGAGUGGCACCUUAUGGGUGGUGUUGACUUCAGAACAGUAGCCCCAUGUUAAUGCGCGAGGCUUUAUGCAGGCCUGGAGCACUGAAAAAUAUUGUCACUCAACACUGUUCUUUCAAUACCUAGUGAUGGUUUGCCUAUUUAUGUCUCUUUCUGAAAUUGUGACCAUGUCUAUCUGUCUAAUAAAGCAGCAAAAAGGUGGGUCUUUCAUAACUUUACUAAAAGCUUUUCAAUUAAUCCCUGUUGAAGUAAUAUAAUUUGGUUUACUGUAAACAUUAUUUUUUAAUAUUAACAUCUAAAUUGUUGUUUUGUCUCUCAUUUUUGCUGUUGUUUAUGUGUUUAUUCCCUCCAGGCACAUGUACUAUAGCUUUUAGAUAUGAAUUAAUCAUUCUUUCUCUAUCACCAAAAAAAUCACGUUUAUAUGAUAUCCUGCAGCUCUCUGUUGUUUACAUAGUAUUAGCAUGGGGAAAUACUACUUUCAGUUUGAUACAUAAAGCCCUCCUUGUCUCUUGUGCUUUUGUCUGUAGGCUAUUAUGCAUGUGACUAAAACCGUGCAUGACUUGAGCAAAUGUUUGAAUAGGGUUCUUGUGCAGUAGGAUUGUAUAAGCCAUUAGGCAUACUCUCUUUAACUUGGUGAUGAAAACAUUGUGGUACAUUUGGUGGCACAAAGUGGAGUAAAAUUCCCUUUGUGGAAGCAGAAUAAACAGCACUCUGGUUUGGCUUUAUUAUUGUGCACAUGGCUGUGCUGCAGACUUCUGGCAAAUUUUCAAAGACCAAGAAUGAAAAGCGUUAAGGUUACUGAAGUUAUGGAGAGAAAGCUGGACUGGAAAGAGAUAAAAAAUGUAUUGCUUUUUUUCAUUCUGAAAUUUGAAAUCAAUAUUAAUCUUUGUGUGUGUGUGUCUGUGUCUGUGUCUUUAAAGCCCUGAAAUCUGUUAAUUGACAUAUGGGAUUGUUGCUACCCAUCUUUUCUAUGUAUAAAGUCUUUUGUAAGAGCAUUGUUUUUCUUUUCUCUCUGUAUGUAAUGAAUACUACAACUAGGGACUUGAAUUUUGCUAUGGGAAUGUGAAAAACAUGGGAAGCUGCCCUCUGCCAAGCUAUUUCCUGAAGGAUCCACUUUACAUAGUGCUGAAUCAAUGGCCUGUCAGGUGUAGUUAUAUGACAUAGUGAUGAUAUGAGGUCAAUCAGAUGAAACCAAGGUAUGUAUUCCCAGCAGAUCCCAGCUAUCUGUUUAACAUUGUCAAACUGAAUUUGCUUUGGUACAGAGCAUCCUCUUUCAGCUUUAUUUGUUUCUAAAUUUGCUUAACUCUGAAUUUGCAUCUAUUUUGUGAAAUUCUAACAAUGGAAAAAAUGUUUCAUUCAUUUUGUUUUGUCUUGAAAUACUAUGCUAUAUGUUUGCUAUUUGGUCUUUCAACACAAAACUCUCUUUGUUAUGUCUAUUUGCAGCUCUUCCUCUUCUAGCCGAAGGGUCUAUUCCAUGUAAUAAUGUGAACAAAUAAGUUCUCUGCUGUAAUGGUGAUGUGGUAUUUAAUGAAUCUAUCCUACUGUAACAUAAAUCCAGUAUUUCCUAAACAUGUGAAUUAUUUUUUAGAAAACAUUACCUUAUGUAUAUAUGCAUAUUUCUUAAGAUAUUGUAUCUGUGAAGAAAAAGAUACACAAAUUAGGUAUGUUAAACAAUAUUUUUCAUGGAAUAGCUCAUUGUGCCCUGGAAAACCUGCAUCUUACCAAUGUUUCAAAUAUUUUCAUACCAGAGGGGAAAUUAUUUUCUUGAAGUGGAUUCAAGAUUUUCCUUAUUUCCUAAAUAAAAUGAAAAAAAAAAAAAUCCUGUCAGCCUAAUGACUGAAAAAUGUAAGCAUUAAAAACAAACACAUUUUUGACAUGUUGUGUACAGCACACAGUGAAUAGGCAAAACAACCUUUUAGCUAUUGUACACUUCUCUUUGGGAGCAGAAGACACAAACAAUAACUCACUGUAGAAACUAAAUAUCUGGAUGAAAAAAUGCAUUUCUUAGGUAAAGUUAUAAGAAACGAGAGAGAAAAGGUGGUGUUUGUUUUUUGUUUUGUUUUAUUCUUAAGGAAAAAGAGACAAUGUUGUAACAACGACACUAAAACUAGAAAAUUUCAAAAUUCAUAUAAAAAUAUCUCAUUCAGGAAUGAAGACGGUCCUACAGAAAGCUGCUCUAAAAUUUUGUAUGAAAAAUCUCUGUUUUGUAUUCAGAUGUAAUUCAUCCUUAAUUUUAUCCUUGCUAAAGAUAGCCUAAACACUGUCAUUUGAACACAAAUUAGUGUAAGUUUGCUUUGUGGUUUCUUUCUUUCAGAUUUUCUGAAGUCAUCUGUUGAUUUUCUGUGCUGCAAGAUCAGCGCUAAAUCAUUUUAACAACUGUAUGCUAUGUUUCAGAAACAUAAAAAAUUGCAGUUCUUCAAAUAGAAGCAACAAAGAUCUCAUCCCACAAUGGAGCACUGGAAAAAGAACACAAAGCAAGGGGCCGGCAGCAUUGCUACCUGGGGAGAGCCCACUGGCGGGCAGUGAGCACUGGGGGCUGCCUCCAUGCUCCAGCGGGACCAGGAGGGCCCAAGCUGCCUGCACGAGACAAACGUAGUGCCAAGGCAGAGCGCUCUCCUCUCUCUGCUCUGCAGGAUGCUCAGUGCCCUGCAUCCUGCAGCUCCAGGCAACGUGGCUGAGCCUCAUCCUUCCUGAGAGGGAUUUUGUCCAGUGAGAUCAUCUGGGACACUUCACAAAUCUCUCUGGUGGAGACUUACAGGGUACACUAGUCUGUUCAUAUUUCUAAAAAUGAGCAAAUACCUUCUCUGUUUGGGACUCUUCCCUCCAUUUUUGUGGCACUGGGUUGACUACCCAAGCAGGGCUUCCUGCCAUGCUCUGAAAUGAGGAAGAUUAUCCAUGUGCAGCUUGAAAAUGGAGCUAUGUACCUGCACAUGUUCAGUCCCAUUACAAAGAAGGCCAGGACAGCAGGAGUAGAGGCAGAGGACAGCAUAUAAUUUUUAUUUAUAUUUUUCUUUAAAGUGAAAUGUAAAACCUGCUACUAGAAAUAAAUGCUUUCUUCACGGUGCAGUAACAAGGAAGGGAGAACACAAUUUCCAAGCAAAUUGCAAAAGUUCAGGAAAUUCUUGGCCCACUAUUUAUUCCAA
Long non-coding RNA from Cygnus olor (mute swan), 13694 nucleotides. RefSeq lists it as uncharacterized. The record is from RefSeq and is a predicted model, not a curated record. NCBI's taxonomy places the organism in Eukaryota, Metazoa, Chordata, Aves, Anseriformes, Anatidae. The transcript has 3 exons.